UACGGGGGGAGCAAGCGUUGUUCGGAUUUACUGGGCGUAAAGGGCGCGUAGGCGGCCACCGCAAGUCGACUGUGAAAUCUCCGGGCUUAACUCGGAAAGGUCAGCCGAUACUGCGGGGCUAGAGUGCAGAAGGGGCAACUGGAAUUCUCGGUGUAGCGGUGAAAUGCGUAGAUAUCGAGAGGAACACCUGCGGCGAAGGCGGGUUGCUGGGCUGACACUGACGCUGAUUGUGCGAAAGCUAGGGGAGCGAACGGA
RNAcentral lists this ribosomal RNA (255 nucleotides) under uncultured bacterium. Its description in RNAcentral is "partial 16S ribosomal RNA". It matches the Rfam family "Bacterial small subunit ribosomal RNA", at positions 524 to 776 of the family's 1533-position model. The record is from RNAcentral.